GCGAUACCCAAGAAUUCACCUGGCUCAUUUUUAAACGGGAUCCUUAAUUUGGCUGCCUAUAAUAAUUUAAUUGUAGCUGUUGAUGUGGAAGGAGAUAAUUGGUCACUUGUUCAUAUUCCUAAGCCACCGUACUAUGCUGAUGAUAUCAAUGGCAUAUUUCCAUCACAGGGACAGUUGUAUUUUGCAAAUAGUCCUGCUGAUUCUGAUGGUUCUGAAUUGUCAAUCUGGGUUCUUGACGACUUCGUUACAGGAAAAUGGAGUUUGAAACACAAUCUGUGUUUUAUAUGUCAACUUGGAUCUGAGUGUAGAGCUGAAUUGCCUGGCUGUGGUGACAAGACUCUUUUUUAUCCACACGUUCCCUUGUUCUCAGAGUCAUUGGCAGAUAUGGACUAAAUGUCUAUGCAACGCUGUUUUUUUUGUGAACAUGGUUCUGAAUGUGAGGUUUGAUGGCUUGGCUGCUGCACACUGCAGAUUCAUAACUGUCCAUGUUUCUGACACUAUUGAAGUUAAGUCUGGAAUCUGGGUAGCGGUAACUGGCGUAGACAUUUAUCAAGUUGUGAGAGUAUAUGUUGGUGCUUGAGCACCCUCAUGUCCUGAAUAUUGCAGUUAACUUAGUGACUGAACUUGUGUUUGUAUAAUUGUAUAUAUUCAUGGCUGUUACAGCCAAUAAAGUUGUAACACCCUGCUACUUUAAUCAUGGAUAUAAUGAUCAUUUUGUUGAACCA
Non-coding RNA from Triticum urartu, 725 nucleotides. The record is from RefSeq and is a predicted model, not a curated record. NCBI's taxonomy places the organism in Eukaryota, Viridiplantae, Streptophyta, Magnoliopsida, Poales, Poaceae.